RNAcentral lists this ribosomal RNA (478 nucleotides) under uncultured bacterium. RNAcentral describes it as "partial 16S ribosomal RNA". It matches the Rfam family "Bacterial small subunit ribosomal RNA", at positions 28 to 523 of the family's 1533-position model. The record is from RNAcentral.
GACGAACGCUGGCGGCGUGCUUAACACAUGCAAGUCGAACGGUAAGGCCCUUCGGGGUACACGAGUGGCGAACGGGUGAGUAACACGUGGGUGAUCUGCCCUGCACUUCGGGAUAAGCCUGGGAAACUGGGUCUAAUACCGGAUACGACUCCGGACUGCAUGGUCUGGGGUGGAAAGCCUCUGCGGUGUGGGAUGGGCCCGCGGCCUAUCAGCUUGUUGGUGGGGUGAUGGCCUACCAAGGCGACGACGGGUAGCCGGCCUGAGAGGGUGACCGGCCACACUGGGACUGAGAUACGGCCCAGACUCCUACGGGAGGCAGCAGUGGGGAAUAUUGCACAAUGGGCGCAAGCCUGAUGCAGCGACGCCGCGUGAGGGAUGACGGCCUUCGGGUUGUAAACCUCUUUCAGCAUCGACGAAGCGAAAGUGACGGUAGGUGCAGAAGAAGGACCGGCCAACUACGUGCCAGCCGCCGCGGUAA